Molecule: long non-coding RNA, 616 nt
Filed under: Homo sapiens (human)
Lineage: Eukaryota; Metazoa; Chordata; Mammalia; Primates; Hominidae
Description: testis expressed transcript, Y-linked 14
Source: RNAcentral
GAGCUUUUAGAAAGUGUGAUAGUGGCUGUGUAGCAGAGGGGUCUUCUUUCACUAGUACAUUUGAUGUGCCAGGAGUACAUGGGUGGUGUGUGCCAAAGGACACUUGAGAUUUUUUCCAUUGUCUCAUGGUGGAAUACUGGAGGACCACAGCAUGUUCCGAAGAGAUGAUUGGAAGAUGGAAGUGGAGGGUUAAAUAAUGAAAUGCAGCUAACAUUUCGGAAAGUUUCUAAAAGUUGUACAACAUGCCCUACAGCUACUCUUUAAAUCUCCAAAUCAAAUGAGUUUCAGGUGGAGCCUCUGGGAGGUGAUGAGGUCAUGAGAGUGGAGCCUCAUGAAUGGGAUGAGCACUCCUACAAAAAGGAUUCCAGAGAGCUCGCUUGCUCCUUCCACAGUGUGAGGACACAGAGGGAAGGCUCUGUCUAUGAAUGAGAAAGUGGGUCCCCACCAGACAUUGAAUCUGCCGCAUCUUGAUACUGGACUUCCAGUCUCCAGAACUGUGGGCAAUAAAUGUCUGUUGUUUAUUACCUGUCCAGUAUCUUUGGUAUUUUGCUAUAGCAACCCAAAUGGACUAAGAAAACACCAGAGGCCAUACCUAAUAAAAAUAUUGACAUCACAA